This 117-nucleotide ribosomal RNA is filed under the name Actinacidiphila rubida. Its description in RNAcentral is "Streptomyces rubidus 16S rRNA. Bacterial SSU". It matches the Rfam family "Bacterial small subunit ribosomal RNA", at positions 1 to 119 of the family's 1533-position model. Lineage: Bacteria; Bacillati; Actinomycetota; Actinomycetes; Kitasatosporales; Streptomycetaceae. The record is from RNAcentral.
AUUCACGGAGAGUUUGAUCCUGGCUCAGGACGAACGCUGGCGGCGUGCUUAACACAUGCAAGUCGAACGGUGAAGCCCUUCGGGGUGGAUCAGUGGCGAACGGGUGAGUAACACGUG